AACGAACGCUGGCGGCGUGCUUAACACAUGCAAGUCGAACGCGAACGGGUUCUUCGGGACCUUAGUAGAGUGGCGCACGGGUGAGUAACGCGUAAGUUAUCUACCUCGGCAUCUGGAAUAACUCACCGAAAGGUGUGCUAAUACCGGAUACGUUGAGUAAUCAAGAAAGGUGGCCUCUCUUUGAUGCUACCGUGCUGAGAUGAGCUUGCGUACCAUUAGCUAGUUGGUGGGGUGAUGGCCUACCAAGGCGACGAUGGUUAGCGGGUCUGAGAGGAUGAUCCGCCACACUGGAACUGGAACACGGACCAGACUCCUACGGGAGGCAGCAGUGAGGAAUAUUGCGCAAUGGGGGCAACCCUGACGCAGCGACGCCGCGUGGAUGAUGAAGGCCUUCGGGUCGUAAAAUCCUGUCAGGUGGAAAGAAAUGUAUAUGUGCUAAUACCAUGUAUACUUGACGGUACCACCGAAGGAAGCACCGGCUAACUCCGUGCCAGCCGCCGCCGUAA
This 506-nucleotide ribosomal RNA is filed under the name uncultured bacterium. Its description in RNAcentral is "partial 16S ribosomal RNA". It matches the Rfam family "Bacterial small subunit ribosomal RNA", at positions 29 to 523 of the family's 1533-position model. The record is from RNAcentral.